AAUCACUACUCUUCACUCCCACAGUCUGUGAGCGUGUCACUGCCCGCAGCUCGAUAGCUAAGACCCAGACUGGGAUUAGAUACCUCACUGUGCUUAGCCCUAAAAAAGGCCAGGACCAAACCUAUGUGUUUAUGGAGGCAUUUUCAGUGCCUUUCUUUUUAAGCUACAUUAACUAAGGUAAUCAAAAAUACAUACUUCAGGCACUGUGUAUCACAAUUGCCCUAGGCAUUUACUUUACACCUCUACAAGCCUCAGAAUAUUUUGAAGUCCCUUUCACUAUCUCUGCUGGAGUUUACAGCUCAACAUUCUUCAUAGCCACAGGUUUUCACGGGCUUCACGUUAUUAUUGGAUCAACAUUUCUUACUGUCUGCCUACUCCGCCAACUAAAAUUUCAGUAUACAUCUAACUGCCAUUGUGGAUUUGAAGCCUCAGUCUGAUACUGGCACUUUGUAGAUGUAAUAUGACUAUUCCUAUAUGUUUCUAUCUAUUAACAAGGAUCAUACUCUUAGUAUAACAGUACAAUUGACUUCCAAUCAAUUAGCUUCAGCAUUACCUGAAAAAGAGUUAUUAAUCUAACAUUAGCCUUAGCAACUGACACCUUACUAACACUUUAAUUAUAACAUUCACGGCCACAGAACUAAUCAUAUUUAAAAAAAGAAAAGAAAAAGAAAUAACUUACAUAACCCUUAGGAACUCUUACUUCAGGCUUUAAAAGGCAAGGAGCAAAUAGUUUUAGGAGACUGAUAACGAUGUCACCUAAAUUUGAGAUACUAAAAAGAGAUUAGUGCUCUCAACUAUGUGAAAUCUAUUUCUCCUACUGUCUCAAAUAUAAUCCUAGGAAUGUGCUUAUAAACAAAGCAUUUCUGGGCCAGGAUAGCAAUGCUUCACAUCAUAUUGUGCUGCAGUUUCCAUCAUGCUUAAACGACAGAGACAUGAACGAUAAAUAACAGCAUUCAGAGCCCUGCAGCUGCAGGCCUUGAGGACCCUGCUUCCUUGCUGACUGUCCACGGGGACCACUCUCAGCCCUUGGAGGUAUCCCAUUGCUCUUUGCCACAGGCCAUCUCACAACAUGGCAGCUCACUUCUUCCAGACAUUACUUUUCAGGUGUUUGCAUCUCCAUAUUUCUUUCUAUUCUUUUUUUGCAAUUCCGUCUAGAUGUAUAUUGGAUUUUCAUAUUUUGUUCUCCUUGUCUCUUAACUCCUUUUGUUAUUUUUCUAUCUCUUUACAUCUCCAGUCUGCAUAUUAGGCAAUUUUUUCAUACCUAUCUUGCAAGUAAUUAUGUCUUCAGCUGGGUUUAACGCUUAUUUUUUUAACCUAUUGACUGAGUUCUUAAUGUAAAUGACUGUGUUUUUUAUUUCUAAAUACUAUAUGUUUUUUUCUGUUCCCAACGUUUCCUGGCUUCUUGUUUUUUAAAUGAUGAAGGACAAAUCCUUUAGCAUAGCAGGAAAGCCCAUUCAACACCCUGGCAAAGACUCCAGUUAGUUAUGCUCCUCUGUCGUUUGUAUGUUAAAACUGCUAAACUCUAAACAUCUAUGUGCUUUGGUGCCCCGUUUUCUUUGAUUUGGAGUUUAGGAUGAGAGACGUUGAGCUCCAAACUCAGACUAAGAAACUAUAAGAAAUAUGCUUCAAUGAAGAAGCUGUUCAAAAAUGAGUAAGAUUGUUUCCUUGAGGCAAGAAAGAAAUGCAGAAGUCUUGACAAACAAAAGAAGAGAUUGCCUUAGGGAAGGGGACUACAGUGAACACUGAGAACUUCUUCCCACGCUAAGACAAUCUUUACAGAGCAAGACUCCGUCUCAAAAGUGGAGACCUAUUCUGUUGGGUUAGAGAUGACAGAAAAUCUUAUUUGUCGGUUGGUUUGUUUGUUCAAGAAUACACUGACCUUCUACAAGAAAGGAGAGCUCUUUGACACCUGGAAAUUUUACAGAAGCUUGGGACAGCUCUGAAUGGCAACACGGUCCUGAGAUAUGUGAUUACCUGGGACUUUCAUUGGACCUGCAUUUCAGCUCUACUCUCCUCACUGCCCUAUGCUGCUUUGACCCUAAAAGUGAAGCCAGCUUGGCCAGGUGCAGUGACUCACACCUGUAAUCCCAGCACUUUGGGAGGCCGAGGUGGGCAAAUCAAGAAGUCAGGAAAUCGAGACCACCCUGGCCAACAUUGUGAAACACCAUCUCUACUAAAACACAAAAAAAUUAGCCAGGUGUGGUGGCACGCACCUGUAGUCCCAGCUACUCGGGAGGCUGAGGCAGGGGAAUCACUUGAACCCGUGAGGAGGAAAUUGCAGCGAGCCAAGAUCGCGCCACUGCACCCCAGCCUGGGCGACAGAGAGAGACUCCAUCUCAAAAACAAAACAAAACAAAACAAAAAAAACAAAAAGUGAAGCCAACUCAAUUGUCUCAUAGAACUGAUCUUUACGGUGUUUUUAAAUAAACAUAGAAAUUGGCCCUCCCAGUCUUAAAACUUCAAAAACUUACAUUUGUCUUACCUCAGUUCCUUUCUCAGGAAUCCAAUCAUCAAGGCUCCCAGAUAGUAUCAAUGAACGGAAACUUACCAGAUCACGAUAUCUGGACAAUGAGAUGUCAGAUCCCCCUCAUCCAUCCUGAUUACCUAACUGACUACCUGCUUCCUGUUGGCCAACUACUCUUCCUUACCCCUCCCUAAUUCUUGUUUUCCCACAAAUGGUUACAUUUCUGUCCUGCUAUAGAAGCCCUUAAUUUUAAUUGGUCGAGGAGAUGGAUUUGAGACUGAUUUUUUGCUCUCCUUGGCUGUUGCACCUGAAUAGCCUUUUUCCCUGGCAAUACUUUUUGUCUCAGUGAUUGGCUUUCUGUGCAGUGAGCAAUGGGACCAAACUUCUGGUGUUUUGGUAACAAAUUUUGGUUUCCUGACUGUGAAUGCAUUGCUUGUGACUCAGCUGCCAUGAGCUGGGAGAGUUUCAAAAGCCCUCUAAGCAGCUACCUGACCAUUUUGGCCAGAGGUGGAUUUUCGUCUCUCCCCAUUUGGGCCCACUUCUGCCAACCCCAACCAUGUUCCUGAUUGCCUAGGAAGAACAGCCUUUGAAAUUUGACGUCUAUGUACAGAAAGUGCUGGAAGAUUAUCUGGCUGACCUUAUCAGCUGUGAUGUCAGGAAUGUCAGCCAGUUAUCCUGUGGUGCAUUCAGCUGGGUCAUUGUACCCCAUCAGUGAGGCAAUUGCAAAGUUCCAUCUGGACAGAGGUAGAAAAAAUUAUAUUCACUUUGAGUAAUUUUCAAAGAUAAAGACAAUUGCUUUUGGCUUUUAAGAGACACAUCUGGUAUGCCUUGGGCUGGAUGCCAGAUAUUUCUGCUGUUGAGUUUUUAUAACAUUAUAUAGGCCUCAAUAUUUUAGAACUAGUAUACAUUUGAUAAAAGUGACUUUUCUAAAGUUUUAGGGAGAAUCUUUUGCUUAGGUGCAGCUGAGUAUUUUUAGUUCAGUACUACAGAUGGCAUACCAAAUUUAAGAGGAGUUGAGUGACUGCUUCAAGGUUGCACAGCUAGUUCUUGGUAGAUCUGGAAAAGGACCAACAUCUCUUGGCCCUUUGUCAGAUAUUCUUUCUUUGAUUUCACACUGUUUUUAAAGAUGCUUAAUACAUUUUAAAUUAAAAUGGUUAUUUGAAUCUGCUUAAACUAGACAAUACUAAUUGUCAAACAUCCAUUACCUGCUUUUUCUCUAGUAACAGAUUGGUGCAAAAAGAAUUGCGGUUUUUGCCAUUACUUUUAAUGGCAUUAAUUACUUUUAAUGGCAAAAACCUUAGUUCCUUUUGCACCAGCCUAAUAAUAAAACCCCUAAUUUUAACUUGGCACGUGGCC
RNAcentral lists this long non-coding RNA (3820 nucleotides) under Homo sapiens (human). RNAcentral's name for it is "non-protein coding LINC00882:18". Lineage: Eukaryota; Metazoa; Chordata; Mammalia; Primates; Hominidae. The record is from RNAcentral.